RNAcentral lists this long non-coding RNA (387 nucleotides) under Ursus maritimus (polar bear). Its description in RNAcentral is "lncRNA (ENSUMAG00000025479.1)". The record is from RNAcentral. Lineage: Eukaryota; Metazoa; Chordata; Mammalia; Carnivora; Ursidae.
AGAAAGAGUCACGGAGACCAAGAGUUUGGCUCCUUAGCUGCUACUCUGGGUGGGAAUUACAAAUAUCUGGACAUUCUUGCCAGGGUCUAAAAUUCCGGCACUCAAGACAAGGCACGAGAGCUUGCGGCUCCAGUUUUCCCCCCGCGUGCAAAUCCCGGACCACGCGCUAGAGGUCGCUGUUCAUUACAAUCCAACCUCGCCUCCAGUGCGGGCUGCCCGCCGCCUCACGUCCCCACCGUAGAGGGAGGAACCUGCGGGCUCUGGAGGCAGGAUGUCUGCUCCGCCACGCCCAGGCCAGGUGACCCAAGAAGCAAUUUGAAGAAGGUAUACCAUAAGAACGACUUGAAUACAAGCCAGGGUUUCAAUACAGGCCAUACCUGCGGCUAG